This 497-nucleotide ribosomal RNA is filed under the name uncultured bacterium. Its description in RNAcentral is "partial 16S ribosomal RNA". It matches the Rfam family "Bacterial small subunit ribosomal RNA", at positions 28 to 507 of the family's 1533-position model. The record is from RNAcentral.
GAUGAACGCUGGCGGCGUGCCUAAUACAUGCAAGUCGAGCGAACGGACGAGAAGCUUGCUUCUCUGAUGUUAGCGGCGGACGGGUGAGUAACACGUGGAUAACCUACCUAUAAGACUGGGAUAACUUCGGGAAACCGGAUCUAAUACCGGAUGAUAUUUUGAACCGCAUGGUUCAAAAGUGAAAGACGGUCUUGCUGUCACUUAUAGAUGGAUCCGCGCUGCAUUAGCUAGUUGGUAAGGUAACGGCUUACCAAGGCAACGAUGCAUAGCCGACCUGAGAGGGUGAUCAGCCACACUGGAACUGAGACACGGUCCAGACUCCUACGGGAGGCAGCAGUAGGGAAUCUUCCGCAAUGGGCGAAAGCCUGACGGAGCAACGCCGCGUGAGUGAUGAAGGUCUUCGGAUCGUAAAACUCUGUUAUUAGGGAAGAACAUAUGUGUAAGUAACUGUGCACAUCUUGACGGUACCUAAUCAGAAAGCCACGGCUAACUACGUG